GAUAAAAUUUUAAAAAUUAAAUGAGAAUAAUAUAAUAAAAUGCUUAAUCAAACUGACUUAUGACUGUUAACUCGUAAAGUCACAAAUCUACUUCCACUACAUAUAACAACCUCUGCAUCUAAUUAGAAGUAUUGAUUUUUCAUUUUACUUUCUUUAAAGUGAUUUGAUUGGAAUUGAAAAUUGCUAGAACUAAUAAAAUUAGAUGCCCUGCCUUACAAAUUAUGUUCCUUUAGCUACUUCGAACACUUGAACCUUGAGCUCCGUGGUCCUACAAUUAUACUGAAUUUAUUUGAAAUCAACGUCUACUUAAUAAGAUAGAUACUCUCAUAUGUAAAUGUAACCCAAUUAACAUGUCAUUUAAUCAUUUUUUUAAAUUAAAUUGUUAAUCAGUUAAUUAUUUCUUCUAAAUUUUCUUAUUAGAUUGAACACU
This 430-nucleotide unclassified non-coding RNA is filed under the name Hevea brasiliensis (rubber tree). Lineage: Eukaryota; Viridiplantae; Streptophyta; Magnoliopsida; Malpighiales; Euphorbiaceae. The record is from RNAcentral.